This 2224-nucleotide long non-coding RNA is filed under the name Mus pahari (shrew mouse). RNAcentral describes it as "lncRNA (MGP_PahariEiJ_G0006229.1)". The record is from RNAcentral. Lineage: Eukaryota; Metazoa; Chordata; Mammalia; Rodentia; Muridae.
CUUCCUGUUCCGGUUGCCGCGGAGAUUCGGUUGCCUAGCAAGAGGCGAGGUUUCGGCUGCUGAAGGCUACCGAGAUGUCUCUAUCCCAGCCUACUGCAGGCAGUUGCUUAUUUUAGAUGGUGGGUCCCCUGGGAAUUAUAAAUCUUAAAUUCUUUUACCAACAGACUAAGAACCUGAAAAAGGGAACCCCGAUACCUAGUAAUAUGUCUUGCUCAAUUCUUUGGGAUACAAUCUGGAUGUCUCACAAAGGAUAACUCAAGACCCCCGUCCAGUUAUAUCAGCCUUUUAUUAUACUUACUGACUUUUGCAUAGAGUAUUGUAAGAAAACCCAGAAAGUGAUAUUUGAAACGAAGACAUUGACAUUAUUUAAGUAUAUAAUUGUAGCACAAGAUAAUUUAUUAUCAGUCCUGGAUUUUUUUUUUUUUUUUGAGUGGGAGGGGAGGUUGAGAUAACCCAGGUCUAUAGCCCUAGAACUGGCCUCAAACUCCCAGAGGUCCGCCUGCCUCUGUUUCCAGAGUACUGUGAUUACAGAUGUGUGUCACCACUACCCAACUUCUUUGGCCUUUUUAUGCCUUCUUUGACAAAAGUUCCUAGAAAAUUACCUCAGAAAGAGAUGUUACAUAAAAUGGGAGUUACAGAAGGAUGUUAAUAUUAAGUUCAAAGCAGUGUUUCAUUCUAUAUGCUCAUUAUACAUUUAAAGCAACAGUUUCACAUGGCCUUGCUUUAUCAUAGUGCAUACCUGUAGCUUUAUCCAUGGACCUAAAUAUUUUUCCUUGAACACAAAUUUGUCCCAAGACUAUUCUUCUUUUUAGUGUAAUUAUGAAAGCUCACUGUAUUUCUUUUUUUUGGGGGGGGGGUCUGGUCAAUAGGGUGGGGUAAUGCCCAGGAACUGUUAUACUAAUAAGGACAGGAAAGGACAGGAAAGGCAUAUCAGCUGCACGAUGCAAUCCUCUGAUGAAGUCCCUUUGGGACCAUACCUCACAGAGCUCACCCAUCGCAGACAUGCAGAAGCAAUAGGCCACCUCCAGGAAAGCCACCUGCUAGCCUUAGCCUAUCCUAGGUGACUCCUGACACCCAACCCUACAGCUCAUUUUGCAAAGGCCAAGAGGUGCCCUAGUUAGUGUCUGUAAAAAAUGACCAGAGAGCUAGAAGUAAGGUCCACCUAUACAGUGGUAAGACUUCCUAACAUUUUUAAAGAACAUACAUUUUUCUUUCUUUUUUUUUUUUAAGGAACUGGACUAUUUGAAAUAGUAACUAGCAGUUACUAUUCUGUUGCUGUGAUAAAAUGCCAUGAGCAAGUCAUCUUCUUUGUGGGAGGAGGUAUUUGGGCUUACAGUUCCAUAGGGAUGAAAAUCCAUCCUGGUGGAGAAGCGUGGUGUCAAGCAGCAGCAAGAAGCUGCGCUCUCACACCCUCAGCUACAAGCAUGAAUCAGAGAGUAAACCAGAAGCAUGUGAUACCUCCAGUGAUACACUUCUAUCAGCGAGGCUAGUCCACCUCAGCCUCACUAGCAGCAUGGCCAACUGGGACAUCCUCAACCACAGCAUAGUACCCAUGAGUUCUAUACAGUACAUCUAUGCAGGAGGCAACUUUCUCCUGUUAGGUUCUUUUAAUAAACAAAGCCUUGGAUUCUCCCACAUCAACGGGUAUAAAUAUGUUAGCCAAACAGAACACACAGAUAUUUUGAUGUAUAACUUGCAUCUAACAUGUACAUAGAAAGUUCAUUACUUAUGAGAGCAACCUGAGCCUCUUUCCAAGCCAUGCAUAGCAGCUUAUAUUUGCACCCUUCCUGCAGGAAGAAGAUGGGGACUGUUAGCUACAUCUCCGUGGAGCUCAUUUCGUUUACAUAUGUAUGUUACUUCCAAAUUUGCAUUUUCAGUGACAAAACUGCCAAAUCCAGAACAGUUGUCCUAAGAAAGGUGCUUUGAACCAUCUUGAAGCUAUAAUGCCAUUUGGCCAGCAGAUGGCACACUUUAGGUUAGGGUAGGGAUGGGGUGAGGGGAGUUUUUAAACCUGCUCUGAAAAUAUAAAAUGCAUUUAAUGGAAGGAAAAAUGAUCAUUAUAAUCUCAAAAAUUUAAAAAACAUGUUUAAAACAUGCAAUUAGUGUUAAAGGUAAAAUACAAGCAUUAUUUCUAACAAGUCACUACAAAUAAAGCAAAUAAAAGAUAAAACCUAGAUCAUGUGAAAGAUGUAAGCAGUUUAUAUGAAUGAAUAAACAAUUAAAC